GUGCAGGACACACCGCAGUCAGUCGAUCCCUCCUUAUCUCCAUGUCCCCUCCUCUAUCCCUUUCUCUACAACGGUCGCCUCGCCUUCUUCCUUGCUACUCCGUCUUCUUCUUCUUGCAACUCUCCGGCCGCUUCUCGGUUUCUUUAGGAUCCGCUCUGCUGGAAACUUGGUUAGCUUGAUCGAGCCUUCAAUGCCUUCGCAUUGUUGAGUUACGUUUCGAACGCGGGCGUGGAAAAGGAUUCAUUUCGUGGAAACGCGGCCGAGUGAAUUCGCGCGUCUAGGCGAAUGAUUAGUGGAUCGAGUCGAAGGGGAAAAAAGGGAGAGUUAGAGAUGAUCUUGGAGAUAUUGGGAUUUAUAUAUCUACGGAGGCUAACCUCGGCACGCGCUCGAGAACCAGUCGAUCGUAGAUGCUGAUCCUAUCUGCGAGCGAUCUGCCUUUUCGAGGAUAGAUUGUUUUUCUACGGAUAGAUCGAGCACGGUUUCCUGGACCCGCGAUGAUAUAUGUACGCCUCGCAGGAAUCUAUCCGAGUACGAAUCUUGGUUCUUUCGAUUUAUUAUGGUAUAAUAUCGUAAUAACUUCGUAACGAGGCAUCCCAUAAUUGACGUACCGUUUAAUUUUUUUCCCCUCGAUACCAAACGCGCACGAAAGAAACCACGAUAACGAAAGAAUGCCGGCGAAUCACGAGCCGGCUUCCUGGUUACGCGUUAUCGAUUCCCGGUAGCUUUCGACGCGUCCAAAUGAAUCUAUAAAACGUCGAGAAACUCAUCUUCGAUGCAGGAGGAUGAACGCUGCGCUCCGUGGAGGAUGGCACGGUGGAGGAGGCGAGGGGGACGAAGAAGAAGAGGGACAAAGUGCCGAGAGUCGGAGGAUUGGUGUUGGUGGCCAAGGUGUAGUGGUGGUGGUGGUGGUGGUGGGGCCUGAUGCAGGUGUUGGCCUUGGGCUCCCUAACACCAAGCCUACAAUCUCUAAGGCUCUCGCCUAUAUACGUUUGCCGGUCGAUUCUGCGCGCAACCCACCACCUUCCGUUCCUCGAUUUUAAAGCCAUAACGCAACACCGCCAAUCCGUGUCUUUGUUUAGGAAUCGAGACGCAGAAUCUAUUGGCGGUAAAUAAGUAAGUAAGUAAGUAAGUAAGCGAGUAAAAAAAUAUUAUUAGCCAAGCUGGGGGAGAUAGGAUUCGAAGGAAAGAGAGAAGGAAAAGAAAAAUAUGUCUCUUUCCUCACCUCGCUCGUGGGAAUUGAAACGAUUUAAUUCGUCGAGAAACUGAAAGAAAGGGUAUCCUCCCCGCGCCUACGCGAUCAAGGACCAUGCGAGAUACGAUUAGAACGGAGAGGGCAAGGACAAUCGAUUCUUUUCAUCGCGAGCCAGAGCUCGGGAAUUGAUUGAUUUUAAUUCAAAAGACUCUUUACUCUCUCGAUUGAUCCGUUGCGCGAUUUUAUCGUUUAUCUCGGCGAGAUUCGUAUAUGAUCGCAUUGGUAUUAGGUGGUUGAGAGUAUAUACGUGUCUUCGUGUUUUGGGUUGAACGAACUUUCAUAUAUAUAGAUAGUUAGAAACUAAUGUUGGAAUUAUCGAGUCGCAACUUGUACUUAGUCACCGGAUAGCUAUUAGUAGUAUACACGAAAUCGUGUUUCUAUCUCGAUAAAUCAACACGAAAAAAUACGCGUGUACGCGUUUAGAAUCGAAGAAAAAUUCCGAUACUUAUCAUUUUGACAACCGAGAAUUUCCGUUCCGCAACACCGUCCUAUUUGUUAUUAACGGUACUAAAAAAUCUUUCACUCGGUCAACAAAGAUAUUUUUUAUCGAAACAGCUUUGUUGCGAUCGCAUCGCCUUUCGACACUCUCGCCAAACAACUCAAUUAUCUCAUACGAUCUCCAACCCCGCGGACAGAGUCACCCAACCAUCUCGACGGUACACGAUUUCUUACUCUCCCAAUUCCUAUACAAACAACCGUAUUACACCAACUUUUAACCGAUGAAAAUGAGCGACUGACAUCACGUGUAUGCAAUGUAUGCAGAGCUCGUACGAGCGUGCAUAAUACCGCGAGCGUGUAGCUAGCUCAGAGAUCGUACUAAUAUUUGUAGAAGCUGCGAGAAUCCUCCAACUUUGGAUCUCGAGCGCGAAUUUAUCCAAUGUGCUCGUCUAUUAGAGUUAUCUCGCAUCGUAGGUCUCGUUAUUCUGCUAGUCGUUCUCUUAUGCAAAAUAGACAGAGGAGGAUCGAUCGGAACAGAGGCCUUGGAGAAAGUGGAGAGACGCGCGAGGUUCGCCUGCGAGCAGAGCCAACUCGCGCCUUUCCACCGACCAGGAGAGAAUAAAUUACCGCGGUACCGUUAUUGUCUCAGUCCAGGAGAGCCCGCCGUGUCUUUAUUUGUGGAAAUUGUUCGUUCCAGGUUUAUACCCAGUGCGUUUGUUGUUAGAACGAGGAGAAAAUAUUAUAGAAAGAAGGAAAUUGUAGGGAAGUAAUCUUUGAAUCCUUUUUUUUUGGAAUUCUUUUUCAAAAUUCACUUUCAAAGAUAUAAUCUCAAAAACAAUUAUCCAGAAUUUUUACUAGUCGAAGUAUAUUCAUCUAUGAUUAAUAUUCUUUCCUUGAUUUUGGUAAAUCUACAAUAUUGAAAUACAGUAAUAGACAACAGUGAACGACGAAUACGAUUAAAAUCAUUGACAUCGAUAAAAAUUAUUCUCCACAGCGUUUCUGUUUUAACAAACAGAAAAACAUAAAUCCUAAGAGAGAUUCUACACGGACUCUACUAUAUCCGUCAGCCCCACCGUUUAAUAAUUUACUGUUGCGUCGCAACACGAUCCGAAGAGGAACGUUCCCGGUAGAAUCCCGAGGAGUACGAGAUGCUCGGUGCUCGCGUGAACGUAACUUAAAGAUUACCUCCGUGGAUCGUGCGAUUCGUGACGUCAGCUCCGGCCACGUGUCGAAGAGGGAAGGGGGAGAAGAGGUCGAGGAGGUCCGGCAUGACCGGUGGUUCCGCGAACAGAUAAUUUCAGGAUACGGACAAAGAGAUGUGGCCGGUGAUCGUCGCGCGCAUCCUGCGCCACGAUACACAUCGAGGUUGCACCCGCGAGCUAUCCGUUUAAAAUUUAAUCUCUCAACGGACAACGAACCACCGCUCCAACUAUCGUAUUAAAACGAUUUCCUUCGGUAUUCUCGUUAAAAAAGAAACCACUGGACUAUUGACUAUUCGAGACGUUUUAAAUCGGGUACGAGCCAUUAUACGAUCGAGCGUUUCUCAAAGAUGUGGAAGAGGGAACGGAGUAGUAAACAAGCGAACGAAUUAUCCGAGGCCGUGAACCGGCUGGACACGAAGCUAAUCCCUUGAUGGAAUCCCUCGAUAAUUCGUGGUUGGACACGGAGGAAGAGAUACGGGUGUCAACGAAGAAACGAUCGUGUUCGCGUCACGCGUCUAAUCAUUGGUUAUCGAGCUAACGACAGUCUAGGAACGGGUAAUGAUACGAAUCGCGCUACAAAGAGUGCACGCGUGCAUUAGCGGUGGAUCUCUCUGACAGCGAUGGAUGAUGCGAGCCAAGUUUUCUGACGCUCUCCUUCUCUUCCUGUUCACGGCCACGGUUAUCUAAGAGAUAUUGAAGAUCAUUAAUAAAUGAUCACGUAUCUUAUACUUUAAAUAUUCCAAGUUAUAUAAAUCGUUCAACAAACGGUAUUCAACAAUAUCGAAUCUUCAAAUAAUCAGAUUUAUCGAUAUUUUAUAAAUUCCGAUACUUCCAAAAAGAAAUGAAUUCGCGUUAUUUGCGUAUAAUUUUAUUAAAUUUGAUCAAAGUCUCUCUCUACUUCCUCCUAUUAUCGAUCUAUUAAAAAUUGCGCGAUGUGUACGGGCCCUAAGGUUCUCGUGACGCCGCAGCAGCCUCGGCUCGGUGCGCGGCUCGUGACGUCAGUGGUGACCACGUGCUGAACAAGAGGGAGAGUCGGCCAGAGAGGAGAAGCCACUCCGUGCCUCUCUCGUAUCGUAUGGAGCGUGGCCCCGGGGAUCAAGGACGGUUUUACUCGCGAGAAGCGGAGAGCCGCGUGUCCCUGCAUCUCUGGUCGUCGUCGUGUUGUGUGCAGCUGAGAGUGCACACAUCGCAGUGGCGGAGGGACGUUGAAGGAGGGCCAGGACCGUGUCACGGGGCGAGGGACGGGGUAGGAGGGCGACGAGGGAGGGGAAGGUAGCGGGAGUACAGAAGUGGUGGAGGAGGAGGAGGAGGCGAGGUGGGGAGAGGGAGAAAGGUUUGCAACGAGAACGAGUAGGGAGGAAAGGAGAGAGGGAGAGUUAUAAUGCUCCUCGCGUCCACUGUCCCUAGGUGGAGGGAAGGAGAGAUGGACAAGACGAGGAAGAGAGAGGCAGAGGUAAAGUACCUCGUUCCCUCUCCCUCCUUCCACCACUCUUCUCUCCCACUCCACCGUUGCUUGUCGUGCCUCGUGGCCUCUUUCUCUCGCUCCCUCGCCACCCGAUUUCGACCUCUUCGUCGCUCCUCUCGACGGAGAUAAAGAGAGUAGAAGCAGAAAAAAAAAGAAUCGUGCGGCGGAGAGAGGAGGGUGCACGGGCGAGGGAGGGAAGGAGAGGAAGGUUAGGAAAACGUGUCCCAGCCUGCACGACCCGGUACACUCACCUCCAACAAUUCUGACCAUAACAUUAGGAGGAACAAGCCGGAAUCGCGAAACAUCGCGCUGAAACACCUGGUUCUGGCUCGCUCGUUACCACGGGGAGCGUGAUAAAACGUUACCUGUUGCUGCGCGCGUUUAGAAAAAUGUCGUUACCCUUCAUUUUUCUCUUUCUUUCCUUCUUUUUUCCUCGCGUUUCGCUCGCUGUUCUUCACUCUGCCUCACUCUUGUCGUUCGUUGUACCCCGAGAGAUGUUAACGCUGUGGUCGAAACGGAUGACGAAACGACAUUGAGGAAAGACGUCACUGAUGAUUAUGUGUCGCGUAAACGAUUACAAUUUACGAUCCAAUUUCGUGUACGUGUUUAUCCUUAGAAUUAAUAUACUAGCGCCUAUUAGAAUGAAUUUUUUUUUUUCUUUUAAAUUAGACCGUAUCGUUUAUUUUCUUCUGCUCGAGAGCAUUACACGGAGAAGAUAUAAAGCGAGAAGGCAAAAAAAGAAAUGAACAUGCGCCAUUAAAUAUUAUGUCCCGCUCAUCUGGCAGCUAAGUGGCGACCCCAUCUGGAUGCGAUCGUUCGGUUAUGCAAAGCUUUCCGUGCGGAAUUAUACAAAAAGCGCGGCAACGCUGCGCGCGCUCGAUUUGGAACCAAAUCCACGAGGCGCCUCGACGCCUCGCGUCCACGCAACGAUCUUCUUCCGUCACGAGUCACGGUGGGGAAGGUUGAUAAAACGUGUUCGAACUUGUUCGAACCUGUACAGUCGAGUCCAACGGAUGGAGAACCGAGGCGAGACGCGACAAGGCAGGACGAUCCUUCGCAUUUAAAUACAACGUAGAAUGUGAUUUAAUCGAUGUAAUAUUUAAUUAACCAAUUCGUGGUAAAAAGUUAGAUUCUAUAUAGCACGCGUUAAAAUAUUCUGACUCUCAGGUUUAUAAAUAUUAAUUGCCUACAAUA
This is a long non-coding RNA of Apis cerana (Asiatic honeybee), 5551 nucleotides long. RefSeq lists it as uncharacterized. The record is from RefSeq and is a predicted model, not a curated record. NCBI's taxonomy places the organism in Eukaryota, Metazoa, Arthropoda, Insecta, Hymenoptera, Apidae.